CCAAAGAAUUUGGCGGUGUUUUAUUCUAAUCAGAGGAACUUGUCCCGUUAUCGAUAGUCCUCGUUUUAUCUUGCUUGAUUUAUUUAGUAUGUAUACCGCCGUUAUAAGUUUAUUUUUUUAGAAUUUUAUUUACUGGUAAUUUUAUUUUAUUUUAUUUCAGGUCAAGGUGCAGCUUAUAAUUAAGUGGUGGUGAGUUACAUUAUUAUUUGAAUAAAUGGAUUUUUUUUUGAAAUUUUUUAAUGAAGGUGGAUUUGAUGGUAAUUUUAUUUAUUAAUUUAUUUUGAAAUUAGCUCUAAGACAAGUACACA
This 308-nucleotide ribosomal RNA is filed under the name Euobrimus cf. cavernosus SB0135. RNAcentral's name for it is "partial 12S ribosomal RNA". Lineage: Eukaryota; Metazoa; Arthropoda; Insecta; Phasmatodea; Heteropterygidae. The record is from RNAcentral.